CAACUCUUAACAAUGGAUAUCUUGGCUCUCGUAACGAUGAAGAACGCAGCGAAAUGCGAUACGUAAUGUGAAUUGCAGGGCUCAGUGAAUCAUCAAAUCUUUGAACGCAUAUUGCGCUCGCGGGCUCUGCCCGGGAGCACGCCUGUUUGAGGAACAGCC
Molecule: ribosomal RNA, 159 nt
Filed under: Goniomonas avonlea
Lineage: Eukaryota; Cryptophyceae; Goniomonadida; Goniomonadaceae
Description: 5.8S ribosomal RNA
Rfam family: 5.8S ribosomal RNA
About the family: 5.8S ribosomal RNA (5.8S rRNA) is a component of the large subunit of the eukaryotic ribosome.
Source: RNAcentral